Molecule: unclassified non-coding RNA, 595 nt
Filed under: Rhynchotheca spinosa
Lineage: Eukaryota; Viridiplantae; Streptophyta; Magnoliopsida; Geraniales; Francoaceae
Description: sequence contains ITS1, 5.8S rRNA gene, ITS2
Rfam family: 5.8S ribosomal RNA (bases 210-365)
Source: RNAcentral
UCGAAACCUGCAAAGCAGAACGACCUGUGAACAAGUCAUCUACAUCAGGGGAUUCCUUGGGUUGUAAAGGCCCUUGGAGAAACCUGAAGUCGGGGAAGGGGGUGUGCCUUCAGCCUCGAAUUAACAACGAACCACGGCGUGAGAAACGCCAAGGAAACUAAAUAGAGCGACAAUCUUCACGGAUUUGUUGUGCUUAUAAUGUCUAUAACGACUCUCGGCAACGGAUAUCUCGGCUCUCGCAUCGAUGAAGAACGUAGCGAAAUGCGAUACUUGGUGUGAAUUGCAGAAUCCCGUGAACCAUCGAGUCUUUGAACGCAAGUUGCGCCUGAAGCCUUCGGGCUGAGGGCACGUCUGCCUGGGUGUCACGCACUCGUUGCCCCCACCCCAUUGCAAUUUAUUUAGCGUUGGACAGGGGUGGAUUUUGGUCUCCCGUGCGCUCCUGCUUGCGGUUGGCCUAAAAAAGAGUUCCUGUCGCUGAGCGUCGUGACAAGCGGUGGUUGAAACAUGCCCUCGUACAAAGAGUUGCGUUCGUUAUGCGUACAAUCAUCUGGACCUCGAUGACCCUUUACCAUCUAUUUGCGACCCCAGGUCAGGC